AUCAUGGCAUUCACCAAUGCUCAUACGAGUUUCCAAUUGAAAACUCAGUGAAUCAGGAAUCUUGAGUCCUUCAACUUUCAGAAAACCAUCUUCCACUUGGCAAUCUAGUGUCAAAUUUCUGGUACAUCCACUGCUCCAGUUAAAGUUUCCCCAUUCUUCGUCAGAUUUCGGCUUGAAUCCCCUCAAACACUCACAAACUGGUGUCUUGUUAAUUUUACAGAUACCAUUGGCACCACACAAGCCAUAAUUGUCACACAAGUCCCGUGGCCCUGAAAUCAUAAGAAUCCAGCCAUCAUUCUCUUCAUUCAUCACAUAGCGUUGAGUUGAUCCUGAGUAGUUCAUGAUUAAUCUUGUGUUUAUUGAUUCUUUGAAG
Molecule: long non-coding RNA, 373 nt
Filed under: Salvia miltiorrhiza (redroot sage)
Lineage: Eukaryota; Viridiplantae; Streptophyta; Magnoliopsida; Lamiales; Lamiaceae
Description: long non-coding RNA (SMIL_LNC008464)
Source: RNAcentral